Molecule: ribosomal RNA, 468 nt
Filed under: uncultured bacterium
Lineage: Bacteria
Description: partial 16S ribosomal RNA
Rfam family: Bacterial small subunit ribosomal RNA
Source: RNAcentral
GGCGAACGCUGGCGGCGUGCUUAACACAUGCAAGUCGAACGGAAAGGCCCUGCUUUUGUGGGGUGCUCGAGUGGCGAACGGGUGAGUAACACGUGAGUAACCUGCCCUUGACUUUGGGAUAACUUCAGGAAACUGGGGCUAAUACCGGAUAGGAGCUCCUGCUGCAUGGUGGGGGUUGGAAAGUUUCGGCGGUUGGGGAUGGACUCGCGGCUUAUCAGCUUGUUGGUGGGGUAGUGGCUUACCAAGGCUUUGACGGGUAGCCGGCCUGAGAGGGUGACCGGCCACAUUGGGACUGAGAUACGGCCCAGACGCCUACGGGAGGCAGCAGUGGGGAAUAUUGCACAAUGGGCGGAAGCCUGAUGCAGCAACGCCGCGUGCGGGAUGACGGCCUUCGGGUUGUAAACCGCUUUCGCCUGUGACGAAGCGUGAGUGACGGUAAUGGGUAAAGAAGCACCGGCUAACUACGUG